GCAGGCUGCGUGUCACAGUGGGGGCCUCGGAGCUGAGCAGGCAGCCAGAGGGAUGGAGCGCCUGAAGCUCCCCAAAGUUUCCAACCUGCUGGGCAGAGCACGCGCUGACAAGCCCUUCCGGCUCUCCUCUCCCCUGCGCAGACAAGCUAGUCAGGCUCUCCCCUCCCCCGCGCAGCAAGCUCCGUGCAAACCCUGCGGCCCCUUCAGCAGCCCUCUCGCUGCAAGGAAGCAUCUCAGACCUCCUGCCUUUCCCUGGAGCCAGAGCAGCCGGGUGUGGAUCCCGUCCUCCACAAACGGCCCGGAAUGUCAAGUCUCUCAAGGACUCCGCCUGUCAGAGCUGCCCAUCCUCCAGAGCACCGCACAAGUUGUGAACUAGUAAGACAUUCUUGAAAGGAGUGGAAAGGGAGGUGGUGUUCCGAAUGGCUUCUGGGAGACAGUCCUGCUCACAUCACUUUACUUAAGAUGCAGUUCUUCCUGCCUGUUACCAUGUCGUCUACAGCUGGGUCUGCGUGCUAAGUUAGUUGCUCAGUUUGCAAAAUCACCUCGUCAGAUCUGAAGGAGGAAAGACAGCACAUAGGCCUGGGCCUUUUAGUAUGUUAAAGUGAAUCUUACACAUGGCUACAAAUGAUUAGCGUCACUGAACAUGUGCCACUCUUCCCCAUCUGGGGAACAGCAACUGAUCUGUGGAGAUAUCAUGUGGUUUUUGUCCUUUUUGUUGAUGUAGUGGAUGAUGUAUAAUAAUCUAUUUUUAGUUAGGCCUUUGUCUUAAAGCUUUUGUGAAUCCCUAAAUUUCUAAUAGUCCUAUUAAUACAUAAUUUUUGCCAUAAAAUGCAGUAGUGUAGACUUUAAAGAUUAUGAAACAGUUUAUUUGUGCUUUCCAAAGGACGAUUGUUUGUUAGUCUUUGCUUUCUCCUUU
Long non-coding RNA from Manis pentadactyla (Chinese pangolin), 916 nucleotides. RefSeq lists it as uncharacterized. The record is from RefSeq and is a predicted model, not a curated record. Lineage: Eukaryota; Metazoa; Chordata; Mammalia; Pholidota; Manidae. The transcript is spliced from 3 exons.